AAAUGAGCUCGCGUCUGAUUAGCUAGUAGGUGUGGUAAAGGCGCACCUAGGCGACGAUCAGUAGCUGGUCUGAGAGGAUGAUCAGCCACACUGGGACUGAGACACGGCCCAGACUCCUACGGGAGGCAGCAGUGGGGAAUUUUCCGCAAUGGGCGAAAGCCUGACGGAGCAAUACCGCGUGAGGGAGGAAGGCUCUUGGGUUGUAAACCUCUUUUCUCAGGGAAGAAAAAAAUGACGGUACCUGAGGAAUAAGCAUCGGCUAACCCCGUGCCAGCAGCCGCGGUAAUACGGAGGAUGCAAGCGUUAUCCGGAAUGAUUGGGCGUAAAGGGUCCGCAGGUGGCUAUGUAAGUCUGCUGUUAAAGAAUGAGGCUUAACCUCAUCAGAGCAGUGGAAACUACACAGCUAGAGUGCGUUCGGGGUAGAGGGAAUUCCUGGUGUAGCGGUGAAAUGCGUAGAUAUCAGGAAGAACACCAGUGGCGAAAGCGCUCUACUAGGCCGCAACUGACACUGAGGGACGAAAGCUAGGGGAGCGAAUGGGAUUAGAUACCCCAGUAGUCCUAGCCGUAAACGAUGGAAACUAGGUGUAGCCUGUAUCGACCCGGGCUGUGCCGAAGCUAACGCGUUAAGUUUCCCGCCUGGGGAGUACGCACGCAAGUGUGAAACUCAAAGGAAUUGACGGGGGCCCGCACAAGCGGUGGAGUAUGUGGUUUAAUUCGAUGCAACGCGAAGAACCUUACCAGGGCUUGACAUGUCCGGAAUCUUGGUGAAAGCCGA
Molecule: ribosomal RNA, 775 nt
Filed under: uncultured bacterium
Lineage: Bacteria
Description: bacterial SSU rRNA
Rfam family: Bacterial small subunit ribosomal RNA
Source: RNAcentral